CAGGUCGUGUUCAACUAUUUAUUAAACGAACAAUCUGAUUUGAGGGGAAUAUGAGUGGCGGGCUCGCGAACACCGAACUGGAUUGCCGGCACCAGCAUCCUCUAAUAAAUGACAUUUUAGGGCUUUUUUUUUGCAUUUAGCCUCCUCACAAAAUUUUUUUUUUCACAAAUAACCUCACAAAAUUUGUAAUUGCAAAAUUGACUCUAUACUCAUUACGCAAGUGCCACGUCAGCGGCCGACUUGCAUAAGUUGAAAACGGUGAAUCAUUUACUGUAUUUAAACACGACAAAUAGUUCACCGUGUUUAAGUUAAAAUGCACUGCGUGGUCGUUUGAGUUAUUUUGCACUGCAGGGUUGGCUACUGAUCAACCCGUCCAAACACGGUGAAUGAUUUACUGUAUUUAAACAUGGUGAAUUAUUCACCGUAUUCAACUUAGCCCUGUACAGCUGCUGACGUUGCGCUUACAUGGCACAUGGGUGACGGAAAUAGGGCCGGUUUUAUAAUUAUAAAUUUCGUGAGAAUAUUUGUGAAAAAAUAUUUAAAAGGAGACUAAGGGGGUGUUUGGUUUGAUAUAAAAAUGGAUGGAAAAGAAAUUUUCGGUGUAAAAAUUAUUUCCAGACUUGUUUAUCUGGUCGUAAAAAAAAUUUUCAGAAAAAAUAAUUUUAUGUAUUUGAGGGAAAAUUUUUUUUUU
RNAcentral lists this long non-coding RNA (691 nucleotides) under Ananas comosus (pineapple). Its description in RNAcentral is "long non-coding RNA (ACOM_LNC002427)". The record is from RNAcentral. Lineage: Eukaryota; Viridiplantae; Streptophyta; Magnoliopsida; Poales; Bromeliaceae.